This 393-nucleotide long non-coding RNA is filed under the name Musa acuminata (dwarf banana). Its description in RNAcentral is "long non-coding RNA (MACU_LNC007925)". The record is from RNAcentral. Lineage: Eukaryota; Viridiplantae; Streptophyta; Magnoliopsida; Zingiberales; Musaceae.
CUAGCUAAAGUCCUAACAGUUUUACAUGAAUGCCCCUCUCAAUUAGGACUCUCCUAGCUAGAGUCCUAACAAACCCGCCCUCUUCAAAUCAGCCUUGUCCUCGAGGCUGACGAUUCAUGAAUUUUGGGAAUUUGAUCUUCAAGUCAUCAUAGUUCUCCAAAGUGACAUCUUCUGUUAGUAGGUUUGCCCACUGUAUUAGUAAUUCAGUAGUGGAUCGUCGUCGUUGAGUCAUAAUCUGUCGAUCAAUAAUGGCACUUGGCUGAGUCUGAAGUCCUCCUUGGGUAGUCAUAUUUGGUGGGUGGCUUUGGGCUAUCUCCAAGCACCUAUUUACAACUUCUGUCUGGCCGUCGGUUUGUGAGUGAUAUGCCAUACUCCUUUUCAAUUUAGUACUCU